Molecule: unclassified non-coding RNA, 331 nt
Filed under: uncultured fungus
Lineage: Eukaryota; Fungi
Description: partial contains 5.8S ribosomal RNA and internal transcribed spacer 2
Rfam family: 5.8S ribosomal RNA (bases 1-133)
Source: RNAcentral
UGGUUCCCGCAUCGAUGAAGAACGCAGCGAAACGCGAUAGUUAAUGUGAAUUGCAGAAUUCAGUGAAUCAUCGAGUCUUUGAACGCACAUUGCGCCUUUUGGUAUUCCGAGAGGCACGCCUGUCUGAGCGUCAGUAAAACCCUUCGGUAGUAAUUCAUUACCACCGGCGUUGGCGGCGGGCGGUCCCCCCGGGACCCCCCCGCUUAAACCUGGCGUGGGCAAGCCGGUUUGGUACCCUGCAAUAGUAAUUUCUCUUUGCACACCCAACCCGCGCAAACCCCUCAAAAAGUUCAUUCAUUUUGACCUCAGAUCAGACGAGGAUACCCGCUGA